Molecule: unclassified non-coding RNA, 376 nt
Filed under: uncultured bacterium
Lineage: Bacteria
Description: contains 16S-23S intergenic spacer region
Source: RNAcentral
UCUGGUUUUUCACCGGCAGUCCCUCUAGAGUGCUCACCAUAACAUGUUAGCAACUAGAAGCAGGGGUUGCGCUCGUUGCGGGACUUAACCCAACAUCUCACGACACGAGCUGACGACAACCAUGCACCACCUGUACAGGGCCCUUGCGGACCCGACAUCUCUGCCGGUUUUCCCUGCAUGUCAAGCCUUGGUAAGGUUCUUCGCGUUGCGUCGAAUUAAGCCACAUGCUCCGCCGCUUGUGCGGGCCCCCGUCAAUUCCUUUGAGUUUCAGCCUUGCGGCCGUACUCCCCAGGCGGGGAACUUAAUGCGUUAGCGCCGGCACUCGGGGGGUCGCUCCCCCAAGCACCUAGUUCCCAUCGUUUACGGCGUGGACUAC